RNAcentral lists this transfer RNA (77 nucleotides) under Solobacterium moorei F0204. RNAcentral's name for it is "tRNA-Glu". It matches the Rfam family "tRNA". Rfam says of the family: Transfer RNA (tRNA) molecules are approximately 80 nucleotides in length. The record is from RNAcentral. Lineage: Bacteria; Bacillati; Bacillota; Erysipelotrichia; Erysipelotrichales; Erysipelotrichaceae.
GGCGCGUUGGUGAAGUGGCUUAACACACCGCCCUUUCACGGCGGCAUUCACGGGUUCGAAUCCCGUACGCGUCACUA